RNAcentral lists this ribosomal RNA (449 nucleotides) under uncultured bacterium. Its description in RNAcentral is "bacterial SSU rRNA". It matches the Rfam family "Bacterial small subunit ribosomal RNA", at positions 34 to 473 of the family's 1533-position model. The record is from RNAcentral.
GAAUUCACUAGUGAUUCAGGCCUAACACAUGCAAGUCGAACGGUAACAGGUCUUCGGAUGCUGACGAGUGGCGAACGGGUGAGUAAUAUAUCGGAACGUGCCCAGUAGUGGGGGAUAGCCCGGCGAAAGCCGGAUUAAUACCGCAUACGACCUAAGGGUGAAAGGGGGGGAUCGCAAGACCUCUCGCUAUUGGAGCGGCCGAUAUCAGAUUAGGUAGUUGGUGGGGUAAAGGCCUACCAAGCCUGCGAUCUGUAGUUGGUCUGAGAGGACGACCAGCCACACUGGGACUGAGACACGGCCCAGACUCCUACGGGAGGCAGCAGUGGGGAAUUUUGGACAAUGGGCGCAAGCCUGAUCCAGCAAUGCCGCGUGCAGGAAGAAGGCCUUCGGGUUGUAAACUGCUUUUGUCAGGGAAGAAAUCCUCUGGGCUAAUAUCCUGGGGGGAUGAC